RNAcentral lists this ribosomal RNA (367 nucleotides) under uncultured bacterium. Its description in RNAcentral is "bacterial SSU rRNA". It matches the Rfam family "Bacterial small subunit ribosomal RNA", at positions 29 to 418 of the family's 1533-position model. The record is from RNAcentral.
AACGAACGCUGGCGGCAUGCCUAACACAUGCAAGUCGAACGGGCUGUAGCGAUACAGUCAGUGGCGAACGGGUGAAUAACGCGUGGGAACCUGCCUCGGAGUUCGGAAUAACCGCGGGAAACUGCGGCUAAUACCGGAUACGGCCUGAGGGCGAAAGGAGCAAUCCGCUCCGGGAGGGCCCGCGUCCGAUUAGCUAGUUGGUGGGGUAACGGCCUACCAAGGCGAUGAUCGGUAGCUGGUCUGAGAGGAUGAUCAGCCACACUGGAACUGCGACACGGUCCAGACUCCUACGGGAGGCAGCAGUGGGGAAUAUUGGACAAUGGGGGAAACCCUGAUCCAGCAAUGCCGCGUGGGUGAUGAAGGCCUU